This is a non-coding RNA of Taenia asiatica, 114 nucleotides long. The record is from Rfam. NCBI's taxonomy places the organism in Eukaryota, Metazoa, Platyhelminthes, Cestoda, Cyclophyllidea, Taeniidae.
GUUGGAUAUGGUGAUAUGAGUCCAACAACCACAUGGGGCAAAGUGAUUGGAUCCGGUUGCGCUCUCUGUGGAGUGCUUGUGCUCGCCAUGCCAAUUCCGAUAAUUGUAAACAAC